AAGAAAAACUUCUCAAUCUGCAGAAUCCAAGUUUCUGCAACUAAAGGAUCAGAUCCACGGUCAAAAUGAGGAGGGUUUAGCCUCAAAAACUCAAAAAUGUUAUGAGAAAUGGUUCUAUAUAUGGGAUAAAAGUUAUUGGUAGGAGGGGUCUGAUCAUAUUGGGCCUUAUUGUGACCUACUGCAGUAGUCAGGCUCUAAAUAACUCGAAAGAGCUCCAUAAACUCAGCCCGAAUCGGGG
RNAcentral lists this long non-coding RNA (238 nucleotides) under Carica papaya (papaya). RNAcentral describes it as "long non-coding RNA (CPAP_LNC011487)". Lineage: Eukaryota; Viridiplantae; Streptophyta; Magnoliopsida; Brassicales; Caricaceae. The record is from RNAcentral.